GAAACGCGAAAGGUAAUGCGAAUUGCAGAAUCAGUGAGUCAUCGAAUCUUUGAACGCACAUUGCGCCUCUCGGUAUUCCGGGAGGCACGCCUGUUCGAGCGCCAUUACACACCCCAAGCACGGCUUGAUGUUGGACGCUGUCUGUGAAAAGGACAGGUCUGGAACGCGUGGGCGCCGGCGCCGGACCACGAGCGUAGCAAGACGCAAGUCAUUCGCUCUGUGGGCUUACUCGGUGGACGGCCGUUUGGAUGCUGGGUAACACCUGUGUCGAGACACGAUACCAAAGUUUGGCCUCGGAUCAGGCGGGGAUACCCGCUGAACUUAA
This 325-nucleotide unclassified non-coding RNA is filed under the name uncultured fungus. Its description in RNAcentral is "sequence contains ITS1". The stretch from base 1 to 104 matches the Rfam family "5.8S ribosomal RNA", at positions 50 to 154 of the family's 154-position model. The record is from RNAcentral. Lineage: Eukaryota; Fungi.